RNAcentral lists this ribosomal RNA (454 nucleotides) under uncultured bacterium. RNAcentral's name for it is "partial 16S ribosomal RNA". It matches the Rfam family "Bacterial small subunit ribosomal RNA", at positions 28 to 507 of the family's 1533-position model. The record is from RNAcentral.
GAUGAACGCUGACAGAAUGCUUAACACAUGCAAGUCCACUUGAACUUCGGUUUGGGUGGCGGACGGGUGAGUAACGCGUAAAGAACUUGCCUCACAGAUAGGGACAACAUUUGGAAACGAAUGCUAAUACCUGAUAUUAUGAUUAUAUGGCAUCGUAUAAUUAUGAAAGCUAUAUGCGCUGUGAGAGAGCUUUGCGUCCCAUUAGCUAGUUGGAGAGGUAACGGCUCACCAAGGCGAUGAUGGGUAGCCGGCCUGAGAGGGUGAUCGGCCACAAGGGGACUGAGACACGGCCCUUACUCCUACGGGAGGCAGCAGUGGGGAAUAUUGGACAAUGGACCAAGAGUCUGAUGCAGCAAUUCUGUGUGCACGAUGAAGUUUUUCGGAAUGUAAAGUGCUUUCAGUUGGGAAGAAAAAAAUGACGGUACCAACAGAAGAAGUGACGGCUAAAUACGUG